Long non-coding RNA from Eptesicus fuscus (big brown bat), 479 nucleotides. RefSeq lists it as uncharacterized. The transcript has 4 exons. The record is from RefSeq and is a predicted model, not a curated record. NCBI's taxonomy places the organism in Eukaryota, Metazoa, Chordata, Mammalia, Chiroptera, Vespertilionidae.
UACCAAUUAUACAAAUAAGUAAAUAAAUGCAAAAAAACCUCAGGGAAAAAAUAAAUAAGAAAAGGACAAUACAGCAGUUUCUCUUUGCCUUCGGGGGAUCCGUUCCAAGACCUCCAUUGGAUGCCUGAAGGUGAUACAAGGGCUACAAAGGAGUGUAACAAGGUGUGGUUCACUAAUCAGAUAGUGAUUCCUCCUCCUCUUCUGAUGAAGACUGAGAGAGUAGAGGAAAACUAUGAUGUGUGUUUCCUAUACUUUCCAUCCCUGUGCAAUGGAGUAGGACUUCACUCUUCUGUGGAAGCAUGAACAGGCUUGCUGACAGAGUAGGGUACCGGAGCCUUCCAAGGAAAGAAGCCGAUUUGGGAAAGGAUCCAUGAAGUUGACAUCUGCAUCAUUGAAAAUUAACCGUCCUCAUAAGCCAUGUCUCCGAGGCUGCAGCCUAUGAGAUGUGAUUGUUCUGUCCUGAGAGUCGUAAGACUAAC